Molecule: long non-coding RNA, 4165 nt
Organism: Marmota monax (woodchuck)
Lineage: Eukaryota; Metazoa; Chordata; Mammalia; Rodentia; Sciuridae
Exons: 4
Source: RefSeq, a predicted model, not a curated record
AGCAGGCUGGGACACGCCGUCCGGGCCAGGGCUUCGAGGACCUGCGGCCACCGGCUGUCCCUCGCUUCACUUUCUAAGCAUCCCCUGCCCCGGGCCUGCAGCCCGGAUAAACUGGGAGACCGAGGGGCUCUUGGGGAACCAGUUGCCUGGGCCUAGAAAGAGCGCGCGGAACCCUCUUGUCCCUCGGGAGUAACCUGCCAUAUUGUGAGGAAGCCAAAGCUACAUGGAAAGGCCACAUACUGAUAUUCUGGUCACAAGGCCCACCCAACAGCCAGUACAAACCACCAGAUGCAUAUGAGAUGCAUCAGAUGAUUCAAAUGAUUCCAGCCCCUAGAGGCUUGGAACCUUCUUCCAACUUCUGCCUUGGAACCUUCCAGCGGAGGCCCAAGCAUCAUGGAACAGAGCAGAGGACUCUGAUUCUUCCUAUAAAAGAGGAGCCUUGAGAAUGUGCCCAAUCUACACACAUCCUCCAGGAUGCCCAGCAACAAUCUGGGACCAGAGAUCCCAAAGCAGAAAAGAGGAAGAACAUCGAGAAUGGAGGUUCUGGCAGCUGUCAAACCUCAGAUGCAGGAAAGAUCUGGAGUGGCCAAAGAUGUUCUGAAGAUCUGAUGGUGAAGCUGGGGAAAGCCCUACUUCUGGACCCCCUGCCCUGUACCCCCCCUGGACAGGAAAAUUGAAGAAUCCUCAAGCCUGGUGAGGAAGCAUGCUCAUAAAUUCAGUUGUUCCUUAAAAUACUACCUCUUGGUAGUAUUUUAACAUUAGAUGGACUUCUGAGGGGUGCUAGGUUGUUCCACUGUUGGAAAAUAUGGACAUCAUGAUCAUUAGCCUUGUUAUUAAUUACAAAUACUAGGAAACAAGGUGAAAUUCCAUUCACAAGGAAAAACAAGAGGGUCUAUUCACAUGCAGAAUGCUAUCUAUACAGCUGUUAAUGAAAAUAGGUCCAUGCAGGCUUGACAUGGCUAAGUCUCCAAAAUACACUGUCACGUGAAGAAAACACAACUUGCAUGCAUGAUAUUACUUAUGGAAAAAGAGAUAUCUCCAAACAAAGAGCUUUCAAGGGCUACAUAUUGUACUUAUGAGAUCUGAAAAAAUACACAUCAAACUGAUCACAGCAGUUACCUCUGGUUGGGGGUAGACAUAACCAGAUGGAAGGAUCAAAGGGGACUCUGGUUUUCAAGGGGUGACCACCUGUCCAGGUUUGCCCAAGAGGCCUGUUUUCCCUGAUGCAGGUGUGACUAAUAAUAGUGCUUGCUUUUCACUCUCAAAAGUGUUCUGUUUCAGUGAUAAAUUAUAUAAUGGUCUUACUUAUCUAUGGUGUUAAUUUUUUACAAUAAGAACGCAUUAAUUCAACCCCGUGUCAUUUCUGAUAAUGCAUAAUGUAGAAGGUAAAGUCCUCCUCCCGCCCUCCAGGCCCCGGACCCACUCCUCAGAGUCAGGCAUGGUAACAGUUUCCUAGCAUCCUUCUUGAAACUGUAAAUCCAUAUCUAACCUCAUCACCUUGACACACAGAGAAAGAGAUAUAUGAAAUUAGGCAGUACAUACUGUUUCUAAACUUGCUUUUCUCACUUAAUUUUGUCUCUGUCACGAUUAUUAGGAAAACCUGAUUAAUACGGAUCCUCAGGUCCUACCAAUAGAGUUGUAAAUUCAGUGGAUCACAGUGGGGUCCAUAGAUAUAUAUUUCUGACAAUCUUUCUUGGUGAUUCAGGUGACACUACACUAUGGAUUCCACGUUGAUCUUUGUCCACAAAACAAUCAUUCAUUCAUUUAUUCAAUAAGCAAUUAUGGAUCCUUGCUCUGGGCUUGGCCUUAGAGAUUCUUGGACUUCAACAGAGAACAUAUGCAGUCCCUGCCCUCCUGGGCACAGCCUCCUUCUCUUCCCUGUCAUCACUGGUGGUUGGUUAUAGAGGUCAUGAGUAUGGUACUGCAGCAAGAGCCAAUCCUAGUGCACCUUGUCUGACUACAUGACCUUGGGAAAGUACUUAGCCACUCUCUGCCUCAGUUACCUCAUUUGUAGAAUGGGCACAAUAAUCCUCACAUCACAUGAUGGAUGCUCAAUAAAUUGCAGUUACUAUUAAUAAUAAAUUAAUUAGAAAUAAUAAAUAUAUCUUAAUAAUAAAACUCAUAUAGUGUUCCUGACAAGUAUGUUUAAACUAAGUCCAAUCAUGAGCAAAUAAUGAGACAAAUUCUGAACUACAAAUCCAUAAUACAAACAUACUGGCACUCUUUGAAAACAUCAGUCUCAGGCUAGGGCUGUAACUCAGUGAUAGAGUGCUUGCCUAGCAUGUGUGAGGCCCUGAGUUUGAUCCCUAGCACUGAAAAAAAAUGUGUAUGUGCCAAUAUCACAAAAAGCAAAUGUAAGAAACUUUUCUAGAUUUUAAAACAUGAAAGGGAUAUACAACCAAAUUCAAAAUGUUCUUCAAGUUUGGAUUAUUGAUUUUAAAAAUAUAUAUCUAUAAAGAACAUUACCAAAAUAACCAAGAUAUGAAUAUUAACUUACACAACACUGUAGCAAUGUUAAAUUUCUUUUUAUUUAUUUAUUUUUUUAGGACACAAUACCUUUAUUUUACUUAUCUAUGUGGCACUGAGGAUCUAAGCCAAUGCCCCACGCAUGCAAGGCAAGCGCACUACCACUGAGCCACAACUCUAGCCCUGCAAUGUUAAAUUUCUUGAGUGUGAUAAUUACACUAUAUAAAUGCCCUCAUUCUUAAGAGAUAUAUGCUGAAACACUCAGAGAUAAAGCGUUGCUGGGGCUAACAUGCAUGAAGCCCUGGAUUAAAUCCCCAGCACCAUAAAGAGAGAGAAAAAGAGAGACAAAGGGUCAUGCUGUCUAUAAACAACUCUCAAAUGGUUCAGAAAAUUGCAUGUGUAGGGAUAGGGAGACAACAGAGAGAAAAGGAGAAAGAUGGGAAGAAAGACAACAGAGAAUUUGCAGCAAAAUGUUAAUAACUGAUAUAUUAAGUGAACAUGUGGGUAUUCCUAUUCUGUUCUUCCAAUUUACUAUAUAGAUUUGGAAUUUUUAAAUAAAAAUUAGGAAAGGUGAAAUUUAAUGUUUUUUAAAAACAAUAUGCAAGAUAGUGGUUGAAUUGGGAGGGAGGAGUAACUUGGAGGGAGCUCUCUCAGGGUGUUGGGGACGCUGUAUGUCCUGAACUGAAUGUGUUUGUUUCAGUAGGAUUUUUAAGCUGGACACUGAAGAUCCUACUCCUUUUUGCUUGUAUGUUAUAUGUCAAUGAUUAUAAGUUUAUUUAGAAUGAUUUUCAUAUUAAAGCAUUCUCCACUACACCCUUCCCUCUGAUCUAAGUCUUUGAUGCAAGACAGCCUUGGCAAGAGUAGAAGCUGGAAGGAAGGCUGGGGUUAGGCUCCCCUUCCCUGACUGUUAUGCCAUCUCCAGGGGGAGGAGAGGAGGCCUGAGUCUGAGGACAGCUUGCCGGGGCCUGGCUCCUUGGGAGGACUCAAGCUGUGUCCAGGAGGGCUCUAGCCUGCUCCUCUGAGCCAUGCCUGACUUCUGCUGUCAGGCCCUCAGGCAGGAGGUUAGCCUUGACUCCACACUGCUCUGGUCUCAGUGUUCCCCUCUUUGUCAGCUCUGUGGGCCCAGAUGGAUGUGGGAUUAAUGAGGCAUCUCAUCUGGUGUGAGAAGUAAGUCGAGGGGUCACAUUUCCCACUCCUUGCCUUGUUCCCUGUGAGCUUGAUCUGAUCAGCCUCACUAGAUGGAAACAGGGAUGUAGUCACCUCUCUGUGUUUUACAGAUUAAUUGCUGGAGUCCUCAGCUGCCUCCAUUGAUAAACAUGAUAGCAACAGCUAACACAUACAUGGAGCUAGAUAUGUGCCCAGUCCUGUUCUAAUGUAUUUAAUGUAUAUAAUACAACAACUCUCUGAGGUAAUAUUUUUUACCCAUUUUACAUACAGGGAAACAGAGGUAUACCCUCCAGCCUUCAAAAUCAUUUGCCUAAGCGGAUUUGACUGCAUAAUUUGCAGGGCCCAGUAUAAAAUUAAAACAUGAGGACCUUGUUCAAAACAUAUUAAGACUUUCAAGAUACCAAACAUCAAGCCAAGCAUAAAGCCUAUUUAAGGAGGGGGCCCUGUGAGACUACACAGGUCUGCAUACCCACAGGCCAGACCUGUACAUUACUUAAGUAGCAGUGGGAACUUGAACCCAAACAGUCUGACU